Molecule: ribosomal RNA, 442 nt
Filed under: uncultured bacterium
Lineage: Bacteria
Description: bacterial SSU rRNA
Rfam family: Bacterial small subunit ribosomal RNA
Source: RNAcentral
GUGGGGAAUCUUGCGCAAUGGCCGCAAGGCUGACGCAGCGACGCCGCGUGUGGGAGGACGCCUUUCGGGGUGUAAACCACUGUUGCCCGGGACGAACAGCUUCUUUCGAGGAGCCUGACGGUACCGGGUGAGGAAGCACCGGCUAACUCCGUGCCAGCAGCCGCGGUAAUACGGAGGGUGCGAGCGUUGUCCGGAAUCAUUGGGCGUAAAGGGCGCGUAGGUGGCGGGACAAGCGUGCGGUGAAAGCUCGGGGCUCAACCCCGCGUCGGCCGUGCGAACUGUUUUGCUGGAGCACUGUAGAGGCAGGCGGAAUUCCGGGUGUAGCGGUGGAAUGCGUAGAGAUCCGGAAGAACACCGGUGGCGAAGGCGGCCUGCUGGGCAGUUGCUGACACUGAGGCGCGACAGCGUGGGGAGCAAACAGGAUUAGAUACCCUUGUAGUCC